UUUGAAAGAGCUUGGGAUUUGUUUUUGUGUGUUGUGUAUCCGUGUGUGGGCAAUGUGUUGACAUACCCUGAGGCUGGAUCUCUGCACGUGGCAUAUUUUGGGCAUAAUGUGCACUCAUCCUCCACAGGGCUCAGGUGUACUCUCACUAACCAAUUAAAAACCUGCAGAGAGAGAACCAAUCGGGCAUCUUUCAUUGUGCUUCUAUCCUCUAGUGCCAAAGUGCCCCGUACCUCUCUUGUCUGCCCACACAGCCUCCUGCUGCCCUCACGGGCAUAUGCUCCUCACACGCUCCGGGGCACCACCAGGUACAGGUGUGGACGGGGCCAGAAAUGGGCACUGGAUCCUGGAACCAACAGAAGAGCCCUGGAGGGUUUCAUAACACCCCGAGUCCCCAUGCUCUGACACACACACAUUGACUAAAAAUGGCUGGCCCCUGCAGUGUGGAGAAGAAACAGGAGAGAGAUCGCAUCCAACAGGAAGAGGAGCAAGAGAGAAGAAGAUUGACAAAUAACCCUGAUAAAUGUGGUUUACUAACAAGCCGUGCCCCCGCUUGAACCCGUUACUGAUUCACAGCAGACAACAGACUGUGCCCAGUCCACCUGAUCUGCCCGCUGGCACCGGGCCCGUGACCCGCUCUGGUAUCCACUGUACACGGACACGCUGUGGAGGAGAGCGUUUACCACACACUGUACUCAUCAAUCAAAACACUCUUCACUGCAGGCGCACAACCAUUAGAAAUGACUGUCAUAGACAUGUAGAUCUGCUCCACUGCUGACACCAUCAGCUUGUUUUAUUAUUCUUAACAAUUCUGUCCUUAAUACUCUCAGUUAUAGACAGAAAUGGCAAGUCUCAAUCUGAUUGGUUGGUUUUAAAAUCUGGACCUUUAUCAGAAUACAGUAAGUCAAAGCGAGAAGCAGAGUUCCAGGAUUUUGUCUGGAGUGUGGAGAUUUUAAGGAUUUAUGAGUUUUAAAUGCAUGACGAUGGGCAAAAUUAGCAAGAAUUUAAGCAUGUAUUAAAAAAUAAAAAUGUGCAAACCUCUAUGGAUAUAUGUUAGAAUGACUACUGUGUAGCAUCUCGACCAAUCUGAC
Molecule: long non-coding RNA, 1088 nt
Filed under: Sinocyclocheilus grahami
Lineage: Eukaryota; Metazoa; Chordata; Actinopteri; Cypriniformes; Cyprinidae
Description: lncRNA (ENSSGRG00000030834.1)
Source: RNAcentral